RNAcentral lists this long non-coding RNA (223 nucleotides) under Elaeis guineensis (African oil palm). Its description in RNAcentral is "long non-coding RNA (EGUI_LNC060691)". Lineage: Eukaryota; Viridiplantae; Streptophyta; Magnoliopsida; Arecales; Arecaceae. The record is from RNAcentral.
UCCUGGGCUAACCUUCGAGCCACGCCUGUGUCCAUGUCUGCAAUAAAAGAAGAUCGACACAGCUCAGAAAUAGAAUGAGAGAAAGGGGAAGCAAAUAUAUAUAAUAAUAAUAAUAAUAAUAAUAAUAAUAAUAAUAAUAAUGAUAGUACCGACAGGAUUAAGAGGGCUCAGGCCGACGUUGAAUAAGAGUUGUUCCUUCAGAAGGUCAGAGAGAAGGGGGGCU